RNAcentral lists this ribosomal RNA (253 nucleotides) under uncultured bacterium. RNAcentral describes it as "partial 16S ribosomal RNA". It matches the Rfam family "Bacterial small subunit ribosomal RNA", at positions 524 to 776 of the family's 1533-position model. The record is from RNAcentral.
UACAGAGGGUGCGAGCGUUAUCCGGAAUUACUGGGUUUAAAGGGUGCGUAGGCGGCGUAGUAAGUCAGGAGUGAAAGUUUGCGGCUCAACCGUAAAAUUGCUUUUGAUACUGCUAUGCUAGAAUUAGGAUGAGGUCAGCGGAAUGUGGCAUGUAGCGGUGAAAUGCAUAGAUAUGCCAUAGAACACCAAUUGCGAAGGCAGCUGGCUAGACCUGGAUUGACGCUGAGGCACGAAAGCGUGGGGAGCGAACAGG